Molecule: ribosomal RNA, 117 nt
Filed under: Diaphorina citri (Asian citrus psyllid)
Lineage: Eukaryota; Metazoa; Arthropoda; Insecta; Hemiptera; Psyllidae
Source: RNAcentral
AGUGGUGAUAAUAGCAUAUUGAAAGCACCAUUCCCCAAAGAUCACUGAAGUUAAGCAACACUGAGCGUGUUUAGUAUCCAGAUGGGUGACUAUCUGCACAUUUGUGUGGUGCUGGCU